Long non-coding RNA from Monomorium pharaonis (pharaoh ant), 1442 nucleotides. RefSeq lists it as uncharacterized. The transcript is spliced from 2 exons. The record is from RefSeq and is a predicted model, not a curated record. NCBI's taxonomy places the organism in Eukaryota, Metazoa, Arthropoda, Insecta, Hymenoptera, Formicidae.
CUGGCCAACCGGCGCGGUCCGAUCAGCCCGCGACCGCGUGAUCGCAAGCGUGCUGUUCACGUGCUCCCGGUCUGACUUGGGCCGUGAUCGUGACGUCAGCGCGCGUGGCGAACACGGUCGAUACGUCAUGGCGUCAUGGUGCGCCCCGCGCGCGCGUCAUGCCUCUCCGCCCUCCCCAUCGCCAGCCUAUCGUUCUAAUGUUGUGUACGUUGAUUUCGCUCUGUCGGGUCUUCGCAAGGCUCGCCUCUUUCCCUCUUCGUUCGCGUACCGUGAACGACCUCACUUCGCUUUUGUAACUCUCUUCGUCCUUCACUACAAACUCGUUUCUCUCUUUCUCUGCGUGUCUCUCUUUCUGUCUUUUGUUUAUCCUUUUCUUUUUAUCCGUUCGUUUUUUCUUAUUGUUUCCUCUUUUAUGUAAACGCAAUGACCCAUGUCCUAAACAAUAAAGAUUUGCGUAUUUUUUUUCUCGUAUCUCCUCGUUAUGGCGUUUAUCUUUUUUUCUUGUAAAAUUACAUAAUUUUAUCACCGACUUAUUUCGUAAGAUUAAUGUUUUGUUUCUCAAUUAUAAAAUCCAAUUUCAAAACAAUAGCGUAAAAAUCGCUUUUUUUCUUGUAAUCUUCUUUUCAUUGUAAACUUCUUUGACUGGAGGUUGGUCGCAACGAAUCUGUACCCAGAGUACUCGACUGAACUGAAGCAAGCGCCGGAAGGAGCCCGUAUGAGACUCUUCAGAUUAACGAUUUAUAGGUGCAGCCGAUAACUUGAAGCAAACACUUUGCUUUACGCCAGUCGCGUACAGCAAUAAGACAAUGACACAUCGGAAAGUCAAAUGCAGAAAUAUGUGCCUCGCAUUCGAAAUGUUGUUGCGAAAACCUUACGACCUUUUGAACGUCGGCCAAUUGGAUAAUAAAUUUUAUGGAUAAUAAAUAUGUUGAAAAAAAAGAUGAAAAAAAUCUUUGAUGUAUUCGUAUUUUCUUAUUUAUUACAUAUUUUUAGACGUCUGGAGAAUUACUUAUUAAUUUAUUCUUGGCAGGACAAAAUGGAAAAUUCGCGAGAGAUAACGGGAGACCAGUAGUCGUACGAUGAAAUACGUAUAACAACUAUGAGAUAAAUCGUUUGGUCGGCUGAUGUUAUCUUCGUCCUUCCUUCAGCGAUAACCAAUUCGGUGAGCAUGUUGUCGAUUACGCUGGAUGUGUUCAACAAUUGCCGAUACAAUUUUUCAUCGCCAUGUAGUUGACAAGUCACGUAUUUUACUUUUUCUUUCCUGAAAACUCAUCUCUGUUGAAAUUAUUCACGCCCACGUUUCACUGGUUCUUCGUUAAAUUUAAUGCACAAACAUGAGCAAGUUUCAAAAUUUUAUACACACUUGCAUUUGAAGCGAACUAUAAGUCUUUCUUUCUGCAGUUUUCUUUCAUUCAAAAUACAAAUAUAAAGAGUACAUAAAA